Long non-coding RNA from Mesocricetus auratus (golden hamster), 497 nucleotides. RefSeq lists it as uncharacterized. NCBI's taxonomy places the organism in Eukaryota, Metazoa, Chordata, Mammalia, Rodentia, Cricetidae. The record is from RefSeq and is a predicted model, not a curated record. The transcript has 3 exons.
GGCCAACCUGGUCUACAAAGAGAGUUCCGGAAUAGUCAGAGGAUCUCAACCCAAUUAGAGGUGAGCUGUGUAAAGUGUCUUGGAGUCAUGCACCCCGUAUCACUGGGUUCCCAACUCAAGAAAUAUCCAUAAUCCUAAAGUCAGGACAACUUGCAACAAAACACUCGGCAACCUGUGGAUUCUCUGGUGACAGAGAUGAUCGAGUGAAACAAAAUGCUUGCAAAGAUGCCUGAAACCACCUGGACCUGAGGCUGAUUAAAGAACCCGCCAGAUGCAGCAGCAUGCCCUUGUAAUACCAGCAAUGGGAUGUCAGGGAUAGACAUGACCCUGAGGCUCAACCGCUGGCCAACCUAGCCUACUUGGCAAGUUCCCAGGCAAGAAUGACCUUGUCUAAACCAAAAAGGUGGGUCAUACCUGAAGGAUAUACAAGACUGUCCUCUAACCUGUGCCCAUGCUUGUGCACACACAAGUUAAUAUCUAAAUAAAAUCUUUAAAAG